RNAcentral lists this ribosomal RNA (406 nucleotides) under uncultured bacterium. RNAcentral's name for it is "bacterial SSU rRNA". It matches the Rfam family "Bacterial small subunit ribosomal RNA", at positions 11 to 417 of the family's 1533-position model. The record is from RNAcentral.
GUUUGAUCCUGGCUCAGGACGAACGCUGGCGGCGUGCUUAACACAUGCAAGUCGAACGGUGAAGGAGAGCUUGCUCUCCGGAUCAGUGGCGAACGGGUGAGUAACACGUGAGCAAUCUACCCUUGACUCUGGGAUAACAGUUGGAAACAGCUGCUAAUACCGGAUACGACCCCAGCAGGCAUCUGCUGGGGUGGAAAGCUCCGACGGUCAAGGAUGGGCUCGCGGCCUAUCAGCUUGUUGGUGGGGUAACGGCCCACCAAGGCGACGACGGGUAGCCGGCCUGAGAGGGCGACCGGCCACACUGGGACUGAGAUACGGCCCAGACUCCUACGGGAGGCAGCAGUGGGGAAUAUUGCACAAUGGGCGAAAGCCUGAUGCAGCAACGCCGCGUGCGGGAUGACGGCCU